UUACGACUACAUAUCAGGCAUAUCAAUAAGCGGAGGAAAAGAAACUAACUAGGAUUCCCUUAGUAACGGACGAGUGAAGCGGGAAGAGCUCAAAUUUGAGAUCUUCAAGGUUCUACCUUGACGAAUUGUAGUUUAAAGAAGUGUUUUCUGUUAGAUGAGUAGCAAAAGUUCCUUGGAAUGGGACAUCAUAGAGGGUGAGAAUCCCGUAUUUGGUUAUUCAUUCUAGCUUUGUGAUACACUUUCAAAGAGUCGGAUUGUUUGGGAAUGCAGUCCAAAAUGGGUGGUAAAUUUCAUCUAAAGCUAAAUAUUGGCGAGAGACCGAUAGCGAACAAGUACCGUGAGGGAAAGAUGAAAAGAACUUUGAAAAGAGAGUUAAACAGUACGUGAAAUUGUCAAAAGGGAAGCGUUUGACACCAGUGUUGUUUUUCCGAAAAUCAAUUACGAAUGGCUUGAUUUUGUGUUGUAUUGACCUUAUCAGCUUUCUGCACUUUUUUCGAGUCUUUCUUAAUGCACUUUUCGGUUAACAAGUCAACAUCAAUUUCUUUUGUUGUAAAAGAGUAUUCGGAAGGUGGCUUUCUUUUCGGAGAAAGUGUUUAUAGCCCUAUACUUCUACAAUCGGAGAGAUUGAGGUCUGCAGCGUAGAUCCUUCGGGGUUAGAUACACUUGUGCUAAGUUGUAGCUUUUCAUAGACAACUUGUUGACUAUGUUUAGUCAUGCGGCUUACUCGCUUGUGCUAUUUUACCUACGCUUAGGAUGUUGAGUAGCGACAUACGCAC
This 776-nucleotide ribosomal RNA is filed under the name uncultured Neocallimastigales. Its description in RNAcentral is "partial large subunit ribosomal RNA". It matches the Rfam family "Eukaryotic large subunit ribosomal RNA", at positions 24 to 649 of the family's 3401-position model. Lineage: Eukaryota; Fungi; Neocallimastigomycota; Neocallimastigomycetes; Neocallimastigales. The record is from RNAcentral.